GACGAACGCUGGCGGCGUGCCUAAUACAUGCAAGUAGAACGCUGAAGAGAGGAGCUUGCUCUUCUUGGAUGAGUUGCGAACGGGUGAGUAACGCGUAGGUAACCUGCCUUGUAGCGGGGGAUAACUAUUGGAAACGAUAGCUAAUACCGCAUAACAAUGGAUGAAACAUGUCAUUUAUUUGAAAGGGGCAAUUGCUCCACUACAAGAUGGACCUGCGUUGUAUUAGCUAGUAGGUGAGGUAAUGGCUCACCUAGGCGACGAUACAUAGCCGACCUGAGAGGGUGAGCGGCCACACUGGGACUGGGACACGGCCCAGAAUCCUACGGGAGGCAGCAGUAGGGAACCUUCGGCAAUGGGGGCAACCCUGACCGAGCAACGACGCGUGAGUGCAGAAGGUUGUCGGAUCGUAAAGCUCUGUUGUAAGUCAAGAACGGGUGUGAGAGUGGAAAGUUCACACUGUGACGGUAGCUUACCAGAAAGGGACGGCUAACUACGUG
This 497-nucleotide ribosomal RNA is filed under the name uncultured bacterium. RNAcentral's name for it is "partial 16S ribosomal RNA". It matches the Rfam family "Bacterial small subunit ribosomal RNA", at positions 28 to 507 of the family's 1533-position model. The record is from RNAcentral.